RNAcentral lists this ribosomal RNA (360 nucleotides) under uncultured bacterium. RNAcentral's name for it is "partial 16S ribosomal RNA". It matches the Rfam family "Bacterial small subunit ribosomal RNA", at positions 338 to 696 of the family's 1533-position model. The record is from RNAcentral.
CCUACGGGAGGCAGCAGUGAGGAAUAUUGGUCAAUGGCCGCGAGCCUGAACCAGCCAAGCCGCGUGAGGGACGACGGUCCUAAGGAUUGUAAACUUCUUUUGUCAGGGAGCAAAAGCCGCCUCGCGUGCCGUACCGAGCGUACCUGAAGAAAAAGCAUCGGCUAACUCCGUGCCAGCAGCCGCGGUAAUACGGAGGAUGCGAGCGUUAUCCGGUUUUGUUGGGUUUAAAGGGUGCGUAGGCGGACGGUUAAGUCAGCGGUAAAAUCGCGGGGCUAAACCCCGGCGAGCCGUUGAAACUGGUUGUCUUGAGGGGGUGAGAGGUAUGCGGAAUGCGAGGUGUAGCGGUGAAAUGCGUAGAUA